GUGUAGAGUUUAUCUUCCCAUCUUAGAGAGCUGACCUAUGUGGGUGUCGGGGAAUUGGUUUACCCUUUCGCAGUGCAGAGCAUGGUUGGUCCCUCGGGUGGCGCAAUUCUUGCGAUGAGUCUCUAAAAAAGGCGCAGUUUUUUUUUAAGUGCAGGAGUGAUCGGUUGUUGUAAGCAUGCAGUCGAGCCAAGUUAUGAUUACUUUUGAAUUCCUAAUUGAAAAACGAGUGAAACGAACGAGAACUUAGUUAUAAGGUAGGAACUGCAUAACAACUGGAUAGUCAUCGGCUUGUGAGGUGGUGUCCGUUGAGCUGCUUGAGUCUUCGGGCUUUAAUGUAACAGGAGGUCAC
Molecule: long non-coding RNA, 349 nt
Filed under: Malus domestica (apple)
Lineage: Eukaryota; Viridiplantae; Streptophyta; Magnoliopsida; Rosales; Rosaceae
Description: long non-coding RNA (MDOM_LNC003674)
Source: RNAcentral